Non-coding RNA from Paramuricea clavata, 469 nucleotides. NCBI's taxonomy places the organism in Eukaryota, Metazoa, Cnidaria, Anthozoa, Malacalcyonacea, Plexauridae. The record is from the annotation of a GenBank genome assembly.
GGUUCAGUGACGUGUCAUGGAAAUAUGGUAAAGAACGUGAACUGUCCUAAAGAUCAGUACAUGGUGGUUAAGAAUGCAUCGUACCGUGGAUUGGCUACCACAAAGACAUGUGGUCUGAGUGACGAUUAUAGUUGUGAAGCUAAUGUAACAUGUAUUGUUAAGAAACAAUGUGAUGGUGAACAUGAGUGCAAAUUAAUUGUGGAUGAGAAGUUCUUCUCUGGUUAUCUGUGUACUGAAUUGAAAAAAUAUCUUUACUUUGAAUAUCAAUGCGUUGAUACAGCGACGCCUUUUAAUGAACAUUGUGUUGUGUAUACUGAGUACUGCCAAUAGAGAGGUUUAAAUUUUACUUCCACUAUAGCUACUUGUCGGUGACUUAAGAGCGGUUGUCUGUAAUAGUCAGGUAAGACGUGUAAAAUGAUAAAAUUCCAAAUCCUUCAAAUUUUGUCAGAAUGUAGGCCUAUAUGAAGUA